Molecule: ribosomal RNA, 425 nt
Filed under: uncultured bacterium
Lineage: Bacteria
Description: partial 16S ribosomal RNA
Rfam family: Bacterial small subunit ribosomal RNA
Source: RNAcentral
GUGGGGAAUCUUGCGCAAUGGGCGAAAGCCUGACGCAGCCAUGCCGCGUGAAUGAUGAAGGUCUUAGGAUUGUAAAAUUCUUUCACCGGGGACGAUAAUGACGGUACCCGGAGAAGAAGCCCCGGCUAACUUCGUGCCAGCAGCCGCGGUAAUACGAAGGGGGCUAGCGUUGCUCGGAAUUACUGGGCGUAAAGGGUGCGUAGGCAGACAGUUUAGUCAGAGGUGAAAGCCCAGGGCUCAACCUUGGAAUUGCCUUUGAUACUGGCUGUCUUGAGUACGGGAGAGGUGAGUGGAACUCCGAGUGUAGAGGUGAAAUUCGUAGAUAUUCGGAAGAACACCAGUGGCGAAGGCGACUCACUGGCCCGUUACUGACGCUGAGGCGCGAAAGCGUGGGGAGCAAACAGGAUUAGAAACCCCUGUAGUCC